Molecule: long non-coding RNA, 159 nt
Organism: Gopherus evgoodei (Goodes thornscrub tortoise)
Lineage: Eukaryota; Metazoa; Chordata; Testudines; Testudinidae
Exons: 3
Source: RefSeq, a predicted model, not a curated record
UUAUAUUUCCAAGAUCACUGCUUUUAUAAUUUAUAUUCAGGUAAACGAGAAAAUCCUUGGAAAUAUUUAUUUUCAGGAGGGGGUUCGCAAGACUUGCCAUUUUAGUGAAAGGGGUUCACAGGUUGUUAAAGUUUGGGAACCACUGGACUAUUAAAUUGU